AUAACGACUCUCGGCAACGGAUAUCUCGGCUCUCGCAUCGAUGAAGAACGUAGCGAAAUGCGAUACUUGGUGUGAAUUGCAGAAUCCCGUGAACCAUCGAGUCUUUGAACGCAAGUUGCGCCCGAAGCCUCACGGCCGAGGGCACGCCUGCCUGGGCGUCACGC
Molecule: ribosomal RNA, 164 nt
Filed under: Castilleja attenuata
Lineage: Eukaryota; Viridiplantae; Streptophyta; Magnoliopsida; Lamiales; Orobanchaceae
Also listed under: 1 other name
Description: 5.8S ribosomal RNA
Rfam family: 5.8S ribosomal RNA
About the family: 5.8S ribosomal RNA (5.8S rRNA) is a component of the large subunit of the eukaryotic ribosome. It is transcribed by RNA polymerase I as part of the 45S precursor that also contains 18S and 28S rRNA.
Source: RNAcentral